Molecule: ribosomal RNA, 484 nt
Filed under: uncultured bacterium
Lineage: Bacteria
Description: partial 16S ribosomal RNA
Rfam family: Bacterial small subunit ribosomal RNA
Source: RNAcentral
AUUGAACGCUGGCGGCAUGCUUUACACAUGCAAGUCGAACGGCAGCGCGGGCUUCGGCCUGGCGGCGAGUGGCGAACGGGUGAGUAAUGCAUCGGAACGUGCCCAGUAGUGGGGGAUAGCCCGGCGAAAGCCGGAUUAAUACCGCAUACGACCUGAGGGUGAAAGCGGGGGACCGAAAGGCCUCGCGCUAUUGGAGCGGCCGAUGUCGGAUUUGCUAGUUGGUGGGGUAAAGGCUUACCAAGGCGACGAUCCGUAGCUGGUCUGAGAGGACGACCAGCCACACUGGAACUGAGACACGGCCCAGACUCCUACGGGAGGCAGCAGUGGGGAAUUUUGGACAAUGGGGGCAACCCUGAUCCAGCCAUGCCGCGUGCGGGAAGAAGGCCUUCGGGUUGUAAACCGCUUUUGUUCGGGAAGAAAUCCUCUGGGCUAAUACCCCGGGGGGAUGACGGUACCGGAAGAAUAAGCACCGGCUAACUACGUG